This is a non-coding RNA of Nylanderia fulva, 2025 nucleotides long. NCBI's taxonomy places the organism in Eukaryota, Metazoa, Arthropoda, Insecta, Hymenoptera, Formicidae. The record is from RefSeq and is a predicted model, not a curated record.
AAUUUCAAAAAAAUUUAUUACUUUAUAUACAUGUUUUGUCUUGUUGCUCAUUAUUAUUUCUUAUAUGACUUUUACAUUAUUCGCUGAAAGUUUAUAAUAUCCUUAUUGUGUUUGUAAUAAUAAAGUAUCGUUGUUUACGAUAACUAUUAAUAUAUAUAUGUAUAAAAUACAGAAUAACUUUAGUUUAUUUUUGUCGGUCAUGUAAGCCAUACAAACAUUGUUAUUGGACAGACAAUUAUUACAGUUACAUUAGGAUAGCGCUCCUAAUAAGUGAGUGAAGAAUGAGAAAACAUUUUCUAUUAAAAUAAUUAAUUUGUAUCAAAAUUGAAUUUAAAAAAUCGACUUGAGAUCUUGAUUCGAAAUCAAACAUUCCUAUCGAACAAUUACUACCAUGGCUACAAUAAUGUUUUUGCCUAACGAAAUAAUUCUUAUCAUUUUGGAGAAACUCAGCAUAAAGGACAUCGAGUAUUUUAGUUCCACGUGUAAGACAUUUAGACAAAUAGAAUGGGGCAAUAUUCUUUGGAUAAAAAAAUUCUAUCAAAGAUGGCCUACUAUGAAAAAUGUUUAUGAUAAAAUGAAAAGCGAAGAUUUGCAGCAAAUAGAUUUUAAAAAGGAGUUAAAAGAAAAUGCAAAAUUUGCGAAAAAAAUGUGGGAAUUUGUACAUUAUUUAUUCAUGGAUAAUUCAAACGAUGAUAUUAAGAAAGACUUGCUUUUAGAUUUCCUUUACUCAAACGCAGGUUCAACGAAUUAUUUUCUUCUUCUAGAUGAAUUCAAAAGAAUUUUUGCACAAUCUGCACGGGAACCUGGUCACGAUUUAACACGAAGAUUUAAUAGCCGCUUCAUUUUUCGAUUAAUAAGACAUUCUCGUACCCGGUUUAAAUAUCUAAAAUUUAUAAAUAAACCCAAAGAACAACAAUUUUUAGAACAGUUGGUUACUAUUGUAGUACAAUGGUUUACACCUCUACAGCAUGUCUCCUAUUCACGCAUACAAGCAUUAUUAGAUAAGAUUGCACAACAAGUGUUGCAAACUCUUAGGAAAGAAUGUCCCAAGCAUCCUAUAUUAACGGUGGCUAACGAGCACUAUAUUUACUGGAAAACCAAUAAUAUCAAUUACAGUUAUUGGAAUUAUAAAGAAAUAUUGCCAAUUUCGUUUAUAACAGAAAGAAUUAUAUUCUCUCAAACAAAUUUCCAAACAUUAAAUCAGUUAUGGUUAACACACCAAAAUCAAGAUGCAUAUAAUAUUUCAGAGGGCAGUGAAAAACUAUUUCUACUAACAAUAUAUCACAGUGUAUUGCGAAGAUUCGGCAUUUACUCUCUUCUAAUAGGAGGCUGUUUGCUUCAAAUAUUUUGGAAACCGAUAGAUAAUAACGGAUUAGGAUAUUAUAGUAUUGGUUUGCAGUCCGGUCGAUUCUUCUUGGUGCCGAAUCAUCGUAGUAUAGAUAAAAGAUGUCACUACAAGACAAUAACAAAAUUAGUUGACCAUUUGGAAAAAGAAUUACAAACACUUCAUCCAGGAGAGAUAAAUAUGCUGAGUUGUAUGCUAUUAAGACAAUAUAUAAAUAUUACAGACGUAAUGAUGUGGUUUUGUGAUUUCACGAUUCCAAAAAAAAAUUUGUGGAAGAAAGAUCGCCAAAACUAAAAUUUGUGAUUGGAACAAUAGUAACCCAUAGAUGUAAGAUUGAUCAAAAUCACAUUGGGGUGAUAGUUGGUUGGACUAGUUAUUAUUAUCCUCCAGCGUGUAUUAUAAAAUUGAACAAUUUUCCUUUUUAUUUAAAUGUGUUAUGCACAAAUUGGCAGUGUACAGAUUCGGAGUGUAGUACACAUAAACCAUACUACGUAAUUUUAUGUGACAAUGACUUGUUCUGUUAUGCGGAACACGAGAUUGUAUCGAAAUGUGACUCACCAAGAUGGAUUAAUAAUAGAGAGAUAGGACGAUAUUUUUAUAGAUUUGAAGACGAUUAUUAUUUGCCUAAUGAAAUGUUAGCGAGAGAUUAUCCAUUUGAUGUCGCUAUAAUUAAUGAAAUA